Molecule: ribosomal RNA, 230 nt
Filed under: uncultured bacterium
Lineage: Bacteria
Description: partial 16S ribosomal RNA
Rfam family: Bacterial small subunit ribosomal RNA
Source: RNAcentral
CGGGGUGAGUAAUGUAUGGGGAUCUGCCUGAUGGGGGGGGAGUAGCUACUGGAAACGGUAGCUAAUACCGCAUAAUGUCUACGGACCAAAGCGGGGGACCUCCGGGCCUCGCGCCAUCAGAUGAACCCAUAUGGGAUUAGCUAGUAGGUAAGGUAACGGCUUACCUAGGCGACGAUCCCUAGCUGGUCUGAGAGGAUGAUCAGCCACACUGGGACUGAGACACGGCCCAG